This 866-nucleotide long non-coding RNA is filed under the name Ovis aries (sheep). RNAcentral's name for it is "lncRNA (ENSOARG00000027045.1)". Lineage: Eukaryota; Metazoa; Chordata; Mammalia; Artiodactyla; Bovidae. The record is from RNAcentral.
UCUCUGGGGUGAGAUAGAACACUCAGGGCUUGACCUCUUCUGGCCAUUAAAGACCUUUGAGUCCGCGCCUGUCUCUUUGUUUCCUACAAGAGUAGUGGUAGUAUUAAUUCUGUGGCUGGCUAAAUUCUAACUGGGGUAAUUAUACUGUCACCCUAUAUUCCCCUGGAGAUUCGGUUAGAAAAGUUACUCUUUGAUCAUGCUCUUAAAUCCUACCGCGCUGGGCUCUGUAGCAUGGCAGGUGAAGAAUGGCUAUUGGAUUCUGCACGCCUCCCUCUGCUGCGUGAGUGAUGCUAAUUCUAUGUCAGAAAACGAACUACAUCAUGGACAGCUGUCUCCUUUGGGGAGGGGGAAGAAAACAAGGUUGGUAUCCUUCUCCCUGGCUCUGCCGCGCAGUUUUCACAGUCCUGCUCUCUCACCCCACUUUCUGAAGAAAUAAGUGGGUCAGCUUUUCAGAGGCUACGACGCAGUCAAGUUGACCCGCAGAAUCUGUUCGAUUAGGUCAACCUGAAACUGAAGAGACAGAUGAAAUGAUUUGGAACCAAGUAUCAUUUCAGCUCUGGAGCAUAUUGACAUCUGUUACAACAUCUUAUUAAACAUCAAACUCCACAUGGCACACGAAGGAACGCAAGGAAAGAAAAGGACUACAAAGUGAAAAACCUUUUGGAUUUUGUCACAAGUGGAUAACAUUUAAAACAAACCAGCUGAUGUCAUGUUUGUAUACAGAGAAAAUAAAGAUAUCAAAAUGUAGCAGACAAUCUAAUACCUUAUUUGGCAAUUUUUUUCAAAAGUCGCUCUCAUUCUUAAUUGUCAGGUAUGUAGUCCUGUUUUUAGCACAUACAGUUGGUCUGCCUCCUAUAGGAAAUGAC